Molecule: long non-coding RNA, 1219 nt
Filed under: Homo sapiens (human)
Lineage: Eukaryota; Metazoa; Chordata; Mammalia; Primates; Hominidae
Description: PREDICTED lncRNA (TCONS_00105869)
Source: RNAcentral
UGGGAACUGAGCCCUCCCCAGCCCAGUCCACAGGACAGAGAGGAGGAGGCCGCGAGAACUGCUUCCUACAUGUCCCCACCCCUCUCACUGCUGUAGCUUCAGGGCAGAAGAGCCACAGAGCCAAAUGCUGCAGAGAUGAAGGGAGACGGAAAGAGCCAAAUGCUGCAGAGAUCAAGGGAGACGGAAGGAUGUCGCCUCCAGAGCUGGGGCCACGGGCAGCGCCAGGGCAGGUUCAUCACUGAUGGCAAGUCUGUGGCUGACCACGUUCACAGGGGUGGCCCUGAGCAAAGGUCGGACAUGAGGACCCAGGAGAAUUCAGGCCCCGGCUCUGGGACGGCUGUGCACCCCCACCCUGGCCGUGGCUGGCACCUCAGAAGGCACAGCUGUCCUUCACUCGCACGGAGCAACCUCGGGACAGAUGGUGGGAGAGGAAGGGCAACUCGAGGAGGCACAUUUUAGGAAACUGCCCACGGAGCCAGUUUCGAUUCUCCAAACCUCGUCAGCAUGCAGAGGCUCCCUGACUCGGCAGCAAGGAGGGCCUCAUCAGCCGACCCCCAUGCCCGGCACCCCCUUCACCAGGUCCUGAAAACUCCAGAGAGCAGUGCCCUGUGCAUUAAACACAGACUGCGCCCUUGUACUCAGGAGGAUGCAAUUCUCUCUCUAAAGUCGAGAGCUCACCACCCCGGGCGUUCGUCACUGCAGACAUCACUGCAGACACAGAGACGGCCAUUAGAGCUCACCACCCCGGGCGUUCGUCACUGCAGACAUCACUGCAGACACAGAGAAGGCCAUUAGAGCUCACCACCCCGGGCGUUCGUCACUGCAGACAUCACUGCAGACACAGAGACGGCCAUUAUGCAGCCUCACGUGGUCACUCCUGGGGGCGGUAGGAUAUUUUAUCCUAAAGAGAAAACACCUUAAAUUCUCACAUCAGCCACCCCCAUGGCGACUCUUAACACCUUAAUGUAGCACCUUCCAACUUUUCCUGGGCAUUUAUGUACAAAUUGUAAUAAAAUUGGGUUCUUACUGCAUACGCUGCUUGCUGGUUUCUAAAUAAAAUUGGGUUCUUACUAUAUAUGCUGCUUGCUGGUUUUUUAAACCACCUUGUGCUUUCCCACAGUAUUAAAGUUCUUUAAAAAUAUGAUUUUAAACUAUAACUUAGUAUUCUGAAUACAAUACGUUUUACCAUCUUCCUGUUUGGGAGCACAUGGAUUGUUUC